GAGGGGGAGGCCCGACCAACAGGAACUGCUAACUCCUGCAUCUGAGUCUAAAACCUCAGCCCCCUCA
Molecule: transfer RNA, 67 nt
Filed under: Cnemophilus loriae (Loria's bird-of-paradise)
Lineage: Eukaryota; Metazoa; Chordata; Aves; Passeriformes; Corvidae
Description: tRNA-Ser
Source: RNAcentral